This 444-nucleotide ribosomal RNA is filed under the name Ectmetopterus micantulus. RNAcentral's name for it is "partial large subunit ribosomal RNA". It matches the Rfam family "Bacterial large subunit ribosomal RNA", at positions 1944 to 2600 of the family's 2925-position model. Lineage: Eukaryota; Metazoa; Arthropoda; Insecta; Hemiptera; Miridae. The record is from RNAcentral.
GACUGUACAAAGGUAGCAUAAUCAUUUGUCUUUUAAUUGAGGUCUGGAAUGAAAGGUCGGAUGAGAUAUAAUCUUUCUUUAUUUUAUAGAAAAAAUUUUAAUUUUAAGUAAAAAUGCUUAAAUAUUACUAGAGGACGAGAAGACCCUAUAGAACUUUAUAUAUUAAUAUAUUGUUGAUUCUGGUUUAUUAUUUUAAUUAUAUAUAUUUAUAUUUUGUUGGGGUGACAGAAAAAAUAUAAAAACUUUUUCUUUUUUAUACAUAUAUUUAUGUUUAUUUGAUCCUUUAUUAUGGAGAACAAGAUUAAGUUACCUUAGGGAUAACAGCGUUAUUAUCAUGGAGAGAUCUUAUCGAUAUGAUAGUUUGCGACCUCGAUGUUGGAUUAAAAUAAGAUUUUGGGGCAGAAAUCAAAAUUACUAGGUCUGUUCGACCUUUAAACUUUUACA